This 472-nucleotide ribosomal RNA is filed under the name uncultured bacterium. Its description in RNAcentral is "SSU rRNA". It matches the Rfam family "Bacterial small subunit ribosomal RNA", at positions 26 to 518 of the family's 1533-position model. The record is from RNAcentral.
AGGACGAACGCUGGCGGCGUGCUUAACACAUGCAAGUCGAGCGGAAAGGCCCUUCGGGGUACUCGAGCGGCGAACGGGUGAGUAACACGUGAGUAACCUGCCCCUAGCUCUGGGAUAGCUCCGGGAAACCGGGAUUAAUACCAGAUACGACCACUUUAGACAUCUGUCGUGGUGGAAAGGAUUCCGGCUAGGGAUGGGCUCGCGGCCUAUCAGCUUGUUGGUGGGGUAACGCCUACCAAGGCGACGACGGUAGCCGGCCUGAGAGGGCGACCGGCCACACCUGGGACUGAGACACGGCCCAGACUCCUACGGGAGGCAGCAGUGGGGAUAUUGCGCAAUGGGCGAAAGCCUGACGCAGCGACGCCGCGUGGGGGAUGAAGGCCUUCGGGUUGUAAACCCCUUUCAGCAGGGACGAAGCGAAAGUGACGGUACCUGCAGAAGAAGCGCCGGCUAACUACGCGCCAGCAGCCGC